AGUGAACGCUGGCGGUAGGCCUAACACAUGCAAGUCGAACGGCAGCACAGUAAGAGCUUGCUCUUACGGGUGGCGAGUGGCGGACGGGUGAGGAAUACAUCGGAAUCUACUUUUUCGUGGGGGAUAACGUAGGGAAACUUACGCUAAUACCGCAUACGACCUACGGGUGAAAGCAGGGGAUCUUCGGACCUUGCGCGAUUGAAUGAGCCGAUGUCGGAUUAGCUAGUUGGCGGGGUAAAGGCCCACCAAGGCGACGAUCCGUAGCUGAUCUGAGAGGAUGAUCAGCCACACUGGAACUGAGACACGGUCCAGACUCCUACGGGAGGCGGCAGUGGGGAAUAUUGGACAAUGGGCGCAAGCCUGAUCCAGCCAUACCGCGUGGGUGAAGAAGGCCUUCGGGUUGUAAAGCCCUUUUGUUGGGAAAGAAAAGCAGCAGGUUAAUACCCCGCUGUUCUGACGGUACCCAAAGAAUAAGCACCGGCUAACUUCGUG
This 492-nucleotide ribosomal RNA is filed under the name uncultured bacterium. RNAcentral describes it as "partial 16S ribosomal RNA". It matches the Rfam family "Bacterial small subunit ribosomal RNA", at positions 29 to 507 of the family's 1533-position model. The record is from RNAcentral.